RNAcentral lists this small nuclear RNA (177 nucleotides) under Oryza sativa Japonica Group (Japanese rice). Its description in RNAcentral is "U2 spliceosomal RNA". Lineage: Eukaryota; Viridiplantae; Streptophyta; Magnoliopsida; Poales; Poaceae. The record is from RNAcentral.
AAAAUAUUAAACGUGGGAACUAAACAAGAUUAACUGUUCUCAUCAGUUUAACUAAUAUCUGAUGUGUGGGCCAUAUGCUCACUUCGAUAUUAAAUUUAUUAUUUGUGGGGGAGGGCUUCGAUAUUAAAUUUAUUAUUUGUGGGGGAGGGCUCAUCACAGUGGCAAGCCCUUGCCACU